Symphalangus syndactylus (siamang) is the source of this 862-nucleotide long non-coding RNA. RefSeq lists it as uncharacterized. The record is from RefSeq and is a predicted model, not a curated record. Lineage: Eukaryota; Metazoa; Chordata; Mammalia; Primates; Hylobatidae.
UACCUUGGCAACCCUGCUGCGCAGGCAGUGAGAGUCAACCGGCCCUUUUGUUGGUAUGCGAGAAAUCAAACUUCGGACAUCACAACCGCGACAUCCGCAGCUCGUGAAGCCCGGAAGGUGCAGGACCUGAGAUCUGAGCUGGUCCAGCGUCCCUGAGGAGCCAGGCACCGGACUGUGAGAACUAGGAGGCGAGCUUCAGGCAGAAGGGGAGACAGGAGCUGAUGGGGCCGCUGGCGGCAGCGCGGGCAGGGCUGGCUGCUACCUGGGCCAGAUGGUCAGAAGUACCAGAAGUCGCCACCGUCCCCACCCUUGGCCCCCUAAGCCGGCAUUCACACAUUCUAUUCUCAAGAAAUGGAAGUGGCAGCGGGAGCUGCUGCUCCAGGAAGCCGAGUGGCGUGGAGGGGGGCGCACAGCUGCCACCUGCUUCCAGGCUGGUGUACAAUGGCAAAAUCUUGUCAUACUGCAGCCUGUGCCUCCUGGGUUCAAGAGAUUCUCAUGCUUCAGCCACCCAAGUAGCUGUAAUUACAGGAAGGCAUCACCAUGCGGAGCUGUUUUUUGUGUUUUUAGUAAAGACAGGGUUUCACCAUAUUUCCCAUGCUGGUAUCGAACUCCUGGCCUCAACUUAUCCACCCACCUUGGCCUCGCAAAAUUCUGGGAUUACUGAUGAGAGCCACCAUGUCUGGCAUACCUGUCACUAUCUCUAUGUUUAUUUGUUCAAUGGGAAAAUUCUCAGUGAAGACUCCUCAGUAUGAUGGAGAUAUUCUUGUGCAAUCAAUCAUUGAUAGAUGCAUAGUAGAAAAACUUCCAUUUUUCAUUUGCAGCUCGCAGAGCUAUGAUUAAAAUCUCCUGCUUAUGAACUCAA